GCCAUAUUCCUUUUCUUCCUUGUCAACAUCAUAUCAUUCAUCUAUUCAACAAAGUUCGAUUGGAUGCCUACUGUGCCAGGCACUGUUCAAAGGGCUUGGGAAACACCAAUGAAAAAACAGAUGAAUAUUGUUGGUAGAGCUUAUAUUUGUAAUUGUUACUUUUUAAAGCUUUUUCCCACUUAACCAUGCAGGCUCAGCUGCAAAGCAUGCUGGAAUUUUGGAACAGCACAGCAGGGUUCAGUGGAGCUUGGCAAAAUAUUCUGAGUGGUCCAUAAAGCCAGUCUCAAGGAACAUGGCCAGCAAUCUAUAUCACAAUGUUCCAGGGCCUGCAGGCUCCAACAGUCAAGUUUAUCUGACAAUCUAGUGGGCAGGAGCCCAGGAUCAAAAGGCUCUGAGCAAUAUUAAUAAGUGUGGCAACACCUUGAUUUCAGUGAGAUCUAGGAGGAACCCAAGCCCAGCCAAUAGCUGGAAGUACAAGGGACAGUGUACAACUCCUUCAAGGAAGGGGAUCUGGUCCCCUUCGUACUGCCUGACUUCCUGAGGAAACUUAGCUGGACACCAUCUGGCUUCCCACUUCCAACUCUAGCCUGGACAUGGAAGAAAGAGGUCAAGCAGGUAAACCUUCCUUAUCCCGCCCUAUCUCUAUCCCCAAGUAAUAGUCAUAAGACUCGAGUGAGGAGUUCCCGUCGUGGCACAGUGGUUAACGAAUCCAACUAGGAACCAUGAGGUUGUGGGUUUGAUCCCUGCCCUUGCUCAGUGGGUUAAGGAUCUGGCGUUGCUGUGAGCUGUGGUGUAGGUUGCAGACGCAGCUCGGAUCCUGCGCUGCUGUGGCUCUGGCGUAGGCUGGGAGCUACAGCUCCGAUUAGACCCCUAGCCUGGGAACCUCCAUAUGCCGCGGGAGCAGCCCAAGAAAUGGCAAAAAGACAAAAAAAANACUCGAGUGAAUUGCAAAGGCUCUAGAAAAUAGUAGAUCAAGAAAAAAGAAUGCUAACAUCCUUGGAUUUAAUUAUCAUAAAAGUC
RNAcentral lists this long non-coding RNA (1020 nucleotides) under Sus scrofa (pig). Its description in RNAcentral is "lncRNA (ENSSSCG00060067676.1)". Lineage: Eukaryota; Metazoa; Chordata; Mammalia; Artiodactyla; Suidae. The record is from RNAcentral.